UUUAUUUAUUUCCGGAUAUUUUUUCUGUGAUACCAAGUAGCAACCUUAAUUGAAAAAAAAAGAAAACCUUAAUAAUCAUCAGGAUCACGUGAAUGAUAUUUACUUCAUGCUAACCUGCCUUUGGUUUUGAACUUCUAUUCUGACUUCCACUUAGGUUUUCACCUUUUUAGGGUCUUUUGAGAUAAGUAUCAACCAUGUUUCUUCUCUUGGGAAGAUUCUGCUUGCUUUCUUACUCUGGUUUUGGUUCUUCUUAGUUAUAAGGUUGUGCUUAAUUAAGCUCUCAGAUUUGUCCAUCAACAUCUGCAGAAACGUAUCUUUAAGGAGAAAGUAAGAAACAUAUGCCUUAUAUAACGAUUCCUUUAAUAUCUCAUGUCCCUUAUACUAAUCAAGGAUUUAUUACCUCCAUUUACUUGUUGUAACUUUAGGAAAAAUUUAUGAUUUGAAUCUGCAAUCCUAUAUCUUGUGAAUUCCCCUAUUUUUCAAGGGUGUGUCUUGGGGAGUCUACGGCUGGUAAAAUUUACUGUGAAACAACAAAAUUACAAGCUGGUUUGAGCUCUUAUCUUGAUAUAUUCUUGUCGCAGUGGUUAAUAAAGAAUGGAGAUUACACAAGUGUAAAGAAGAAUGAAAAAAAAAAAUUGUCAAGCUCCGUUCUUUAACGGCUUUAUAACGGCUUGACUCGACAUGGGCUUAAGAUUUUCGAAGGCCCAUCUUGCUCCUUUCUCUUGUUACUCGUGCUAAGCCCAUCACUACAAGAGCCCAACCUAAACGGAAACUGAAGAAUAAUUGAACCGGGAAUCACAACGAUUUACAGCGAGUUUGGUUUUGGUUUUACGAUGAUCUUCCUGAUUCGGAGGACAAAAAUAAAUCACUUGAAGCAUUUCUUUAAGUAAGUCACUUACUCAAUCGUGGACAUUUUUUCUAUCUUAAGUAUUAUUUUUCUAUCUUGGAAUUUUCCAAGACUCUGGUAGACCUCUGUUUCCAAUUAAAUUAGC
RNAcentral lists this long non-coding RNA (992 nucleotides) under Eutrema salsugineum. Its description in RNAcentral is "long non-coding RNA (ESAL_LNC000184)". Lineage: Eukaryota; Viridiplantae; Streptophyta; Magnoliopsida; Brassicales; Brassicaceae. The record is from RNAcentral.